RNAcentral lists this ribosomal RNA (405 nucleotides) under uncultured soil bacterium. RNAcentral describes it as "bacterial SSU rRNA". It matches the Rfam family "Bacterial small subunit ribosomal RNA", at positions 26 to 455 of the family's 1533-position model. The record is from RNAcentral.
AGAACGAACGCUGGCGGCAUGCCUAACACAUGCAAGUCGAACGAGACCUUCGGGUCUAGUGGCGCACGGGUGCGUAACGCGUGGGAAUCUGCCCUUGGGUUCGGGAUAACAGUUGGAAACGACUGCUAAUACCGGAUGAUGUCUUCGGACCAAAGAUUUAUCGCCCAAGGAUGAGCCCGCGUAAGGAUUAGCUUGUUGGUGAGGUAAGAGCUCACCAAGGCGACGAUCCUUAGCUGGUCUGAGAGGAUGAUCAGCCACACUGGGACUGAGACACGGCCCAGACUCCUACGGGAGGCAGCAGUGGGGAAUAUUGGACAAUGGGACGAAAGCCUGAUCCAGCAAUGACCGCGUGAGUGAUGAAGGCCGUUAGGUUAGUAAAGCUCUUUUACCCGGGAUGAUAAUGAC